This 551-nucleotide ribosomal RNA is filed under the name uncultured bacterium. Its description in RNAcentral is "bacterial SSU rRNA". It matches the Rfam family "Bacterial small subunit ribosomal RNA", at positions 355 to 896 of the family's 1533-position model. The record is from RNAcentral.
UGGGGAAUUUUGGACAAUGGGCGCAAGCCUGAUCCAGCCAUGCCGCGUGUGUGAAGAAGGCCUUCGGGUUGUAAAGCACUUUUGUUCGGGAAGAAAUCGUGCGGGCUAAUACCCAGUACGGAUGACGGUACCGAAAGAAUAAGCACCGGCUAACUUCGUGCCAGCAGCCGCGGUAAUACGAAGGGUGCAAGCGUUACUCGGAAUCACUGGGCGUAAAGCGUGCGUAGGCGGUUGGUUAAGUCUGCUGUGAAAGCCCUGGGCUCAACCUGGGAACUGCAGUGGAUACUGGCUAGCUAGAGUGUGAUAGAGGAUGGUGGAAUUCCCGGUGUAGCGGUGAAAUGCGUAGAGAUCGGGAGGAACACCAGUGGCGAAGGCGGCCAUCUGGAUCAACACUGACGCUGAGGCACGAAAGCGUGGGGAGCAAACAGGAUUAGAUACCCCUGGUAGUCCACGCCCUAAACGAUGCGAACUGGACGUUGGUUGCAACUUGGCAAUCAGUGUCGAAGCUAACGCGUUAAGUUCGCCGCCUGGGGAGUACGGUCGCAAGACUG